Molecule: long non-coding RNA, 4143 nt
Filed under: Bemisia tabaci
Lineage: Eukaryota; Metazoa; Arthropoda; Insecta; Hemiptera; Aleyrodidae
Description: lncRNA ENSSSA1UGG008637
Source: RNAcentral
AUGGGGCGGGGAAGGGGGGGGGUCCGUGGAGGCCGCGGCUAUGAAUACUUGCGAGUGGCCGUUUUAGGUAAACGAGGGAUGCGCAGCCCCGGAUUCAAGAAUGGACCACUGAACAGGAACACGGGGAGCACUUACAGGGAAUUGGGCUUAGAGUCACCCCCUAUGCCAGAGGACCCCCUAACGGAUUGCCGUAUCCUCCUAGCAACCUUCAACGGUCUGGACUGGUGCCCUCGCUCCAGUUCCUGUGUUCGUCCCGUCACCCAAGCAGCUACAGAAAAAUGCGUAGCGGCUCACGCAUGCUUCUUAAGGUUGCCGGCAGAAGAAAAACUGGCCUGUCCGGAAUCACUGGAGCCUAAGUGUUAUUCGCCGAACCGUUGUAAGCCAAAAAAUUGCACGAUCAUAUGCGAAGGCAGGAGAAAGAAUUUAUUUUCAGUCGUUAGCGCUACGACCGUGGACCUUGCAUCAGACGCGAUUCGAGCUCGGGCUGAAGGUUAAAUGAAACUUGCAUUGGUCAUGCAGCGAGUAGAGGCUCUUCCGGACCUACCCAACUGGCUGUAACUGAUCUCAUCCCAUUCAUUUCCAUUCGAAGGUGAUAUAAGAAUCAAUUUCACGAUGGAUUAUGGAAUCGUCGAUGUGUAAAACUGUCAACUCGCUGAGGCCUACCUUAAAGUUUUUAAAAAUAUAAUUUAUUUAUUCUUUUUUGUUUGUUUUUUUUUCAUUGCAACACAUAACUGUAAUCCUUUUGCAAGUAUAGCGACUUGUUUUCUGUCAUUUUUUAUUUUUUUAUCAUCAAAUUUCUGUCCACAAAGUUUACGAUACGUUUCAAGAUUAUCUGCUUCAAUACUUUGUACAGUUCACGAAAAAAAUAGGUAGACAGGGAAUUAUCCGCAUCAGUUAGCUUUUUAAGACGUCUUUAAAUAUUCCUAGACCAAUGUAAUCGUAUAAUCAGUUUUUGCUAGAGCUUUGUUAAAAGAAACUACUUUUUAUAAUGCUACGUCACAGGCCUCUUUAAACAUUUCUUAACAAAGUUCUCUUCAAACUUUCGGCAGUCAACGCGCUGAGAUUGGGCUAACGAUGACUGAUGACCAUAGAAUGGAGCAAUUGGUUAACAAUUCUAACCUUAUUUUCCUCUUCUUCUUGUUAUUUUAGUGGUUUUUACUCCAGAAGAGGAGCCUACAGCCAUCUAGAGACAUUUAGUAUAAUAUUUUAGGAGUAGAAUUUAUUAGGUAUAAGGUUAGGAAUAUUUGUGGUGGUUAUUUUGAAGAAAAAGAGGGUAGGAUCUCGAGGACCAACACCAUUUGCACAUCCACGAGACCCUUCAGGACGACUUCCUAUACCAUAGUUAGAUUGGGUCUUGAAAAACAUUCAAUGGGAUAACCUUAUUUUCAAAACUAGCAAAACAAAGUGCUCACCUCGACAUCCAUCAGUCAUCAUUCAACGAACCUAAUUUGAUUUUUUGCUGAGUAAAUUGGUCAUCAACCAUCAUUAUGCGAAAAGUAGCGUUGACCUCCGAAUUUGUCUUUUGCCUCGUUCGAUUACAUAAUAGGGGUCUCUGAAAAAUAUUGCCUCUGAGUGCAAUAAGUUAAAAAAAUAUGAGCCUUUCUUUUCGUUGAAAAUAACCUCGACAGAUGCCAAAUUCUAGGAAGGCCGAAUGACGUAUGACCAUCCGCAUAAAUCAAAUUGAAGUUGAAUCAGGUGCUACUGAAUGAAUGUAACCGAUUGAGUAUGGCUGUAUGUUGAUUUCCAAAGUUUCCGCAAAGAAAAAAAUUCGUGUUACUGCAUAAACAGAGGUAACACUUACUUGGGAAUAUUUUCCACGCCGAAAGGAAAAUAUUCAGUCCCGUUAUAAAGCGGACCAGUAAAAUUUACGCGCGAUAGUCCGCCUUUUCUGGAUAAAGUGACAAGUUUCAAAAAUUGGAUUUUUCCCGGUCUCAGCUGUAUCGUUUUCGCUGUUUCAACAUGAGGAUUCUAUUGCAUUUACUUGAAUUCGGCCUCUUCGUGACAUUCACAGUGCAAAAAAUUGAGGUAAGAUUUUUAGAGUAAACGGAUGCACAAUUUGUAAAUCAGAUCCUGAAGCCACGGUCAUUAGGAAUGAAUGUUUGGAAGGACUCAAAACCGUUCUUCAUUGACCUGAUGUAUUCUGUCGUCAUCUGAUGUAAAUGAGGGAAGUCGUUUUUUAAACAGGGUUAACUUUUUGGCGACUUGGAGAAUAUUGCUCUGAGCUAAAAUUUGAUUAAAUGGAGAAUGGGAAAAUGACAUCAAGAUUCUAUCACUUACUUUUCGGAAAUUAAUUACAAAAAAAUUGUGUAACAGACUUAACAAUUCCACAAAGACCUGUAAGUUCCAUGAUAUCAUGUCCAGCUUUCGAGCACACUUAAAAAUACGUCCUUUUAUAUUUCUUGAUAUUUUAUUGAAUUUUUGAUGACUUUUCAGAGUUUUUCCCAGCCAAAAUUUAAUAAAAUGAAGAACAGAAAAAUGACCCUCUGACUCUGCACGCACUUUCCAAGAACUAGUUGUAAAAAAAAUGUGUGACAGCCCCCUUUACAUCGAUUGGGUCAGUUGCGCCGAUCACAGAGUCGUGUUUUGAUGUUUGAUAAUUAUUGUAGAUCAGGUGAAAAUAAUGAGAUCCGCUCGAACAGCAAAUUUCUACGUUCAAUGUUAACAAGUCGUAGUUUAGUCUCACAAUAAAAACGGUGAGGCUCAUAGUGUCCUUUCUUUUAAUUUUUCAUGUUUUGCCGGUUGAAAAUGCGGGUGUGAUCCCUACCAAACGUCCCGGGUUUCUUAUUUUAUUUUAUGUGUUUCUUUUCAUUUUAUUAUUUGCGGCCUUAGCCCCGUUUUAAAUCGUUUCUCUAUUAACGUUUCGGGCCGAUUAAGUUGUUUGUUCAAUUUUAACCGAGAAAUCGCCCUUAGAAAAAUUCGGUUUACAUCCACCGACUUUCUCAAAGCUCGAUAUCUCGGUUAAAACAGCAUAGAAAAUUGCUAUAUUUGAACGGAUCUUAUUAUUUUCAGCUGAUCUAAGAGAAUCAAAAAUCAAAACACGAUUCUGUGACCAGCGCAACUGGCCCAUUCUGAGCAGUGAUCCCUGCACGUAUGUUCUUCAGCAAGAAGACCCAAGUGACCCACAGCCGUUGGGACUUCCACCUAUCCCUCCUUAUAGAGGGAGCAUCCACGAUGAUUGUCGUAUCCUGCUGGUUACGUUCCACUACCAGGACGAAUGCUCCAGUUUCAGCUCCUGCAUACGCCCGAUUGGUCAGGUAGCUAAGGAAAAAUGCGUAGAAGCUCACACCUGCUUUGCUAGGUAAGCACUUAUUCUACCGUACUAAAGAAAAACGCCGUAUGAACGUUCGAGGAUUGUAAAAUUUACUUUCGAUUUUCCAUUUUUCGAGGACAUUCUUAAAAACUAUCUUUAAAACUUCGGAUUAGAGUAUCUAUAUAGGGAGAAAAUGUCGGUAAUUUUGAGAUCAAGUGGUUAAGCUCUUAGGGCCCAAAAGGGCAGCCAAUUUAUGAAUUCAAAUUAUCGAACGUGAUUUAUUAGUACAAUGGAUAAUUUGCAUGCAAAUUUUUUAUUGCUUCAUCUGAAAGUGCUUGAAGAGCUGAUUUCACAGUAUUUUUUAUACUUUUUUCUGAUUUGGGAAACAGUAUAAAAAUAGAUUUAAAAGUGAAAAAAUUCACCGCCUAGUGACGUCAUCUGGCGGCAUUCCCCAUUUAGACACACGUAUUUUAGCAGAUUAGAUCAUUUCGCCAUAUCUUUCUUCUCCAAUAAUUUCUCAAUUCAUGAACCAAAGGUAUCCUCGUGUUCAGUUCAAUCAGUAGUUUCCACUUAAACACGAAAUUCAUCAAAUUUCAGACACCUGCAAAUUCUCUAUUGUCACGAUCCGUCGGUGGUAAAGCAUAUAUUUUAUUGUUUUUCUAAACUUCACUCAUUUCUGUGGAAGAGCACUCAUUCGUGAAUAUUCUCGCCCUUACAAUCUUUUCCAUUUUCAACGAUUCAUAACAAAUAAUUUCAAAUAAUAAUUGAAAUGACUUACCACAACCUCAUUAUAAUUUGAGAGUGAGAAAUGUUAUUGAUGUUGCUGUUUCCUUACCUGAAAUAAAACAGAGACAAGGAGUAAUUAGUAAAAUAAAUUUAAAGCAUGAAGCAAA